Molecule: ribosomal RNA, 1511 nt
Filed under: metagenome
Description: bacterial SSU rRNA
Rfam family: Bacterial small subunit ribosomal RNA
Source: RNAcentral
AGAGUUUGAUCAUGGCUCAGGACGAACGCUGGCGGCGUGCUUAACACAUGCAAGUCAAGGGGAAAGUUUUGCUUCGGCGGGAUGAGUAUACUGGCGGACGGGUGAGUAACGCGUAGGCGACCUACCCAUAAGAGAGGGAUAACCCAGCGAAAGUUGGACUAAUACCUUAUAAUACUAUUUUAUUGCAUGAUUUUAUAGUCAAAGGGUGCCAAUUUAUUGGUAUUGCUUAUGGAUGGGCCUGCGUUCCAUUAGUUAGUUGGUAGGGUAACGGCUUACCAAGGCGACGAUGGGUAGCUGGUUUGAGAGAGCGAUCAGCCACACUGGGACUGAGAUACGGCCCAGACUCCUACGGGAGGCAGCAGUGAGGAAUAUUGCGCAAUGGGCGAAAGCCUGACGCAGCAACGCCGCGUGGGGGAUGAAGCUUUAUGGAGUGUAAACCCCUGUAAGUAGGGACGAAAGUUACCUAUACGAAUAGGAUGGGUAUUUGACGGUACCUACAGAGUAAGCUCCGGCUAACUCCGUGCCAGCAGCCGCGGUAAUACGGGGGGAGCAAGCGUUGUCCGGAAUUACUGGGCGUAAAGGGCGUGUAGGCGGUAUUGUAAGUCAGAUGUAAAAGGCUACGGCUUAACCGUAGAUUGUCAUUUGAAACUGCAGUACUUGAGUGCGAGAGAGGGUAGUGGAAUUCCCAGUGUAGCGGUGAAAUGCGUAGAUAUUGGGAAGAACACCAGUAGCGAAGGCGGCUACCUGGCUCGUAACUGACGCUAAUGCGCGAAAGCGUGGGGAGCGAACAGGAUUAGAUACCCUGGUAGUCCACGCCGUAAACGGUGAACACUAGGUGUUGGUCCCGACGUGUCGGGAUCGGUGCCGCAGCAAACGCAUUAAGUGUUCCGCCUGGGGAGUACGAUCGCAAGGUUGAAACUCAAAGGAAUUGACGGGGGCCCGCACAAGCGGUGGAGCAUGUGGUUUAAUUCGAUGCAACGCGAAGAACCUUACCAAGACUUGACAUGUCAGAAGUAGCGAACCGAAAGGUUAGCCACCUGUAAAAUCAGGAACUGUCACAGGUGCUGCAUGGCUGUCGUCAGCUCGUGCCGUGAGGUGUUCGGUUAAGUCCUGCAACGAGCGCAACCCUCGUCGCUAGUUAAAUUCUCUAGCGAGACUGCCCUGCAAAACGGGGAGGAAGGUGGGGAUGACGUCAAGUCAGCAUGGCCCUUAUGUCUUGGGCUACACACACGCUACAAUGGGUGGUACAAUAGGUAGCGACAGAGCGAUCUGAAGCCAAUCCCUAAAGCCAUCCUCAGUUCGGAUUGUAGGCUGAAAUUCGCCUGCAUGAAGUCGGAGUUGCUAGUAACCGUGGGUCAGCACACUACGGUGAAUACGUUCUCGGGCCUUGUACACACCGCCCGUCACGUCAUGAAAGUUGGUAACACCUGAAGUCGAUGGGCCAACCCGGUUUACCGGGGAGCAGUCGCCGAAGGUGGGGCUGAUGAUUGGGACGAAGUCGUAACAAGGUA